This 220-nucleotide ribosomal RNA is filed under the name uncultured bacterium. RNAcentral describes it as "partial 16S ribosomal RNA". It matches the Rfam family "Bacterial small subunit ribosomal RNA", at positions 524 to 742 of the family's 1533-position model. The record is from RNAcentral.
UACAGAGGGUGCGAGCGUUAAUCGGAGUUACUGGGCGUAAAGGGCGCGUAGGCGGUUAUAUAAGUGAGAUGUGAAAUCCCUGGGCUUAACCUAGGAACUGCAUCUCAUACUGUAUGACUGGAGUAUUGUAGAGGGUAGUGGAAUUUCCGGUGUAGCGGUGAAAUGCGUAGAGAUCGGAAGGAACACCAGUGGCGAAGGCGGCUACCUGGACAAAUACGUG